CAUUUGAAAUGCAACUCAGUAAUGGACAUGCUUAGGAAGGAUCUGUGCUUGUCUUGGGGCUAAAAGGCUAUGUCGUGAGAAUACCAUAAUGCUGUGGCUAUCUUAUUGUGAACUGGUAUUUCCUGUUGGCGUUCCCUCGCUCAAAACUAGCUCAGGGAGGUAGAAGUCCAGGCACUGAAUUGGACUUCUAGUACCCUGAUGAAGGAAACAGUUUUGUCUUUGAAACGUGUCGGAGUAAUUUUGACCCUCGCAGACUUCCACAGUGACUUCACAAACCGGAGAGCGAUUUUUUAACAACAACUGCUUGUUUGAAAUGCCACCGGCCGGGGCUGUCUCCCACACAAAGGGUGCUGCCCGAAUGGAGGACUUAGGACUGCUGUAUCAAUGCUGGAUCCCAUUUCUUCCUCUGAUGACACCGAUAGCAGAGAGAAAAGCAGCAUUUCUACAGGCUCUGAAGCUCCAGUAUAUGACGUGGGACAAAGAAUCUGUACUGUACUCCUUUAUAUGACUGUCCCUGAAAAUAAAUAAGAAAGAAUCACCAUUACCAGAAACAAAAGAGACACCUAACAAUAUCCGGUUCACUUAGUCCUUGGGACUGAGAGGAGAAUUCAAUUCUCUCUUAUUCGCCGUUUUCUCAAAACAUACAAAAAGCUAAGUAUGGGUAAUAGGUGAUUAGUUUGGUCUCAUCAGGUGACCUGCAGUGAUGAGACUCCACCUCUAUUCUCUGCAAGGCCAAAAUAUGUCAAUAGGGCUGAAAACCCAUGCCUGCCACAUCAGCUUAAACAGCGACAAGGCUUCUAGAUACCUUUCAAAAAUCAGAAAAAAGAAUGCAUUUCAUCUAUUGCUUUGGGGGGAAAAAAACACAUCUAGAUCCCUCUGAGCACUGGAGGCAGGAACAACAAAAGAACCAUUGGGAGACGAUGUACGGAACGUUUCAUCACAGUUAAUGCUUUAAGCACAAUGGAAAUGGCGGUAUCCUUCAUCUCAGUCACCUGCCAGUCCCCAGCUGUCUGAACAAUGGAAGGUACAGUAUCAACAAGACAUGACGGGACGAUUGAUGCUUCUCUAUAUAUUACCAAUGACAACUAUGUCAAUGUUUGUUAAGUGGAAAACAUUAAACCAAUAAAAUCAAUGCAGUCAUUAGAAGCGUCUCACAAUUCCCAUCUGACGUGUGGUCUAAACCUUGUUCGGGGGGUUCCGGAUAGGAGUUUUAGAAAUACAUUGGUGUGAUAUCAAUGCAGUAAGGGCGGAGACUUAGGCUGGGAUGACACAACAUUAUUACUGUACGUCCCCGGUAAACCUUGGCAUUCUGCCAGGAAGGCUGAAACAUAUGAUGGCACACGGCAGUGGGUCCCUUUACUUUAGAGGGGUAUUCAAGUUUUGUAAAAAUUAUCCUUUAAGUGAUAAG
This is a long non-coding RNA of Hyla sarda, 1408 nucleotides long. RefSeq lists it as uncharacterized. The record is from RefSeq and is a predicted model, not a curated record. The transcript is spliced from 3 exons. Lineage: Eukaryota; Metazoa; Chordata; Amphibia; Anura; Hylidae.